This is a long non-coding RNA of Ictidomys tridecemlineatus (thirteen-lined ground squirrel), 902 nucleotides long. RefSeq lists it as uncharacterized. NCBI's taxonomy places the organism in Eukaryota, Metazoa, Chordata, Mammalia, Rodentia, Sciuridae. The record is from RefSeq and is a predicted model, not a curated record.
UCUUCCUAGGAAGGAGUUGAAUGGUUUUUCAAGAGACAGUUUGAGAUGAGACAGAAUAAAGUAUAAUCUCCACAAAGCAACAGAAUGAAGCACCCAGCUUGUAAACAGGAUGCUAGAGGACCUGCUCAGACGGCACAAAACAACUGCAAAUGAUGAAAAAGGCUGAAGAUGGAGGGUUUUAAAACAAGAAAGGACAACAAAAUGAUAACACCAUGUUCCUUAAAGGAAUCACUCAUGUUUAAAGCUGAGAUUGAGCUGAAAUUCAUGGUCGAUAAGAAAAACUGAAAGUAGUGGACUCUACUGGAUCUUGCCUUCAUUGGAGCUUACUACAGUGUGUCCAACGUAAUAAAUUCACAAUUCUCUAUGUUAAAUUCUUUCAUACAAUAGAAGCUUAUAAAAAGGAAUAUAGACUAAAGAGUAAGUUGCAUAAUGAGAUUUAAUCUAUGUAAAAUAUGUCCCAGAAGAAAUGUCCUUUACUUUGAUCAUAUCCCUUGAAACAAGAUCCCCUGCUGAAAACCACAAUAAAAUGGGAGCUUGGGAAAAAGCUCCUCUGGUGAGCAAGCUUGCUUUUAAUAUUAAAAGUUCACCCAGCCCACCAAGUCCAUGAUCCUGGGGUGGGCUUAAUUAAUGUCAAUGAAAUCUCGAAAGUUCCCUGAGGCUUAAAGGGGAAAUAAAUCUGUCUGGGUUCUCCAUGCCUUCCUCUCUGAGGUACUUUAUUUUGGAGCCUCACACACACAAGACACGUGCAUACAUCACACACAAACACGUACAUGCACACACAUGUGGGUGCACACGCACACAGGUAUCUGUUUCAUCAUGAAGCGUUCUCUUUCAAUAUUUUACUUAUUCAGAGGAGGCUUCCACAUCACUUUAUCAUCACUCUCCACUUAGAUCCAGAGUGU